This is a long non-coding RNA of Ornithodoros turicata, 226 nucleotides long. RefSeq lists it as uncharacterized. The record is from RefSeq and is a predicted model, not a curated record. The transcript has 4 exons. NCBI's taxonomy places the organism in Eukaryota, Metazoa, Arthropoda, Arachnida, Ixodida, Argasidae.
GUGGACUGGGACAGGAUGAAGGACCUCCGAAAGUUGGCCUCAGAAAACAGCAAGAGGUGGACUGAGACAGGAAGAAGGACCUCCGAAGUUUGGCCUCAGAAAACAGUAAGAGGUGGACUGGGACAGGAUGAAGGACCUCCGAAAGUUGGCCUUAGAAAACAGCAAGAGGUGGACUGAGACAGGAAGAAGGACCUCCGAAAUUUGGCCUCAGAAAACAGCAAGUUGU